AUCGAGCACAAUCCGAGCACACCCGACUUCUCUGGACCAACUGACGUGAUUCUGGCUAAUUUUUCAUCUCAUUGUCUAUGCAAGCGUUCGAAUAUGUCGCCACGAAAUGCGCAUCAGUCUAUUCAAUCUUAAUAUUCAAACAGACAACGUUCUUAAGCGCAUCACACUUGCGAGAAGUUACUGAAUUCGAUACUCAACUCCUACUUGGCUGAUUUGAAAGUUGCAAUUCAACUGUCAAGUCAUAUUUUAAAAACUAACCUCACAAAACAAGAGACACUUUGUCAAAUAUUUUGAAAGCCUUUUUCUACAAGGUGAAAAAAAUGCAGGCUCAACAGGAUCUGAACGAGAGUCUACCCCUGCCGGCUGAGGAAAUGCCGGAGUGCUGGGAAAAGGAUGAUCGUAUGAACUCCCUGUUUGCACAGUUUCGAAACCGCUCUACUAAUCCACAGGACUGGGAUUCUAAGUACAGAUUUUGGCGCGGUAUGAUAGCAGAUUGGUCAAAAUACAGGAAACGUUGCAGUUUCUCUCUAUCAGAACUGAACAAAGCCUUUAAGCGUAACGGUAGAACCCCGGCCUGCUUGUCGAUUGUACUUCAGGAAAUGCACAGAAAUGGUGAGAUUGUUCCAGUGUCGAAUUUCAUUCGCGAAUCCCCAAAUUCUUGGGGAGGAUGGGCGGUUGACACUCUUGUGAAACGACCAUUGUUCUGGUCGUAUUCUGUGCUAAAAAAUAGCAUAGUUGAGACAUCGGUAGAUCCAGAGACCAGAUAUGUCCAGUUGGAGACGGUCAAGGAAUUGGGAGAGCUGAUUCUGUCGACGAUUAAGAAAAACGAAGAGAAUACCCUUUGUUCUAUGGCCGACAUAACAAAAAAUUGCAUAGAGAAAGUGAAUAUCAAAAACGGUAGUUUAUCAGACGACGAUGUGAAACUUGCUUUGAUAUGGUUGCGUCUCAACAAGAAAGCUGCGUUCCAUUUUAGUCCUGAACGAGACAGUAACGAUACGCUGGUCAAGUUGUCGAACACCAAUGUUAAAGAGGUAACAGAGGCUGAGGAAGGUUUGUACCGAUUAGAAAAGCAGGAAGAAACCUUGAUCAAAAAUCUAGAGUUAUUGGAACUUGAAAAGGAAACUGUUAUGAAGAAUGCAAAAGCAUAUUUGGCCAAUGGAAUGCGACAAGUUGCCAAAAGCUGUCUACGAAAAAAAAAAGAGCUGGAGAAAAGCAUUGAAAAACGUGCAGCUGCCAUUCAAAACAUCCAAAUUAUUAUCACUAGAGUUCGCGACAUGCGUUCUGACUCCGAGGUACUUAAUUCCUACAAAGCAGGAGCUGCCGCAUUGAAGCAAAAAUUGGCGGAAGAUGGCCUUACCGAAGACAAUGUUGCCGAUACCAUGAAUGAUCUUUCAGAGGUAUUGGAAGAAUUUAGUGAAGUGCAAUCAGUUCUAACUAAACCAGUGGACUACUACGAUUCGGAUCUUGAAGACGAGUUAUCAGAGCUGCUCGCGGAAACAGAACAUGAUGACUCAAUUAACAGCCCUCAAAAUACUCCUGGUAAAUCACAAAGUAACUCCAACGUAAACGGUGAUAAGAAACAACCAAACAUUGUUAAAGAAUUCUCAUCCUUGCGUCUGGAAGGUUUUCUCUUCUAGACCUUCCGUCGCCCCCAACAAAAUACUCACCACCGAUUACAUCACCUGUACCUUCCCAGGGUGAAUAAGUUAAUCUGUCAUUUCAUCGACGAUCCUAACAAACCAUUUGUGUAACCGGCGCAGAACUUGUCGUUGCUGAUGAAGACUGCAAUUUCGCUACUGUUGCUCGAAGACUUGCACUGGUUGUAGGAUAUGUAAGGCAGUGUCAGAGUCUGCAGAACGGCACUGGUCGUGCCUGUUGCUGUCCUACCGAAACCGGCGACUUUUCCAAAGACACCAGGCUCGAGUAUCUGCUCACUGAACCCAGACACGUCCAAACAAGCAGGCUGAAGAAUGCUGGUGAAUUCGAACGGCUGGUGGAGUUCCAGCAGUGCAAUGUCAGAUGCGUAAUUUCCAUUUAGUCCGUAAUACUGACAAUACAAGUAAACAUUUUUCACCUG
This is an RNA transcript of Diprion similis, 2077 nucleotides long. It is a transcript of the gene named charged multivesicular body protein 7, with no coding region annotated. The record is from RefSeq and is a predicted model, not a curated record. The transcript is spliced from 6 exons. NCBI's taxonomy places the organism in Eukaryota, Metazoa, Arthropoda, Insecta, Hymenoptera, Diprionidae.